CAAUACUCUGCCUGCACGGGCUGGGCAGACAACUGUGGCACUUUCAACACUCUCAUUCCACUGCUGCCAAAAGAGUGGAAGUAUGUAGCUGUGGAUAGGCUGGCCAUGGCCUCUCCUCCCAUAGACCUCCUGGAGUCUUCUACAGCUUUCCUGCUUAUUGGCCGACAUACGUCGAGUCAUGGAGGUAUUAAUAAUUAUUAAAUGAAUUUAGUGGAUGCAUAUAUUUGUCCUAUUUCACACAUGCACAAGGUGUAUUAAUACAAAGUGUGAAUGUGAAAUGUGUUUUUUGCAUAUCCCACUCUCUCUGAGACGCCCUCUGGAGACUGGCGGGUCACGGCCAGUGUCUGCCUGGAGGCGACCCUGGAGCAAUUAGGGUUAAGUGCCGACCUUUCGGUUACUGGCCCAAUGCUCAAACCACUAGGCUACUUGCUGGGUUGAGCUUAUUCAGACCAAUGUGGCCUUUGCUCACAGUAAGAGCUGAAAAGUAAUGAUGUGAAGUUAGACAGAGCUAUAUGAGUUUCCUCGUUCUUUCUCUCCUAGGUAGGUGUAAUUUAAAGUAUGAAGCUACAUUUAGCAGAUUAUCUAUCUAUCUAAUCCAUUGAAAUGGUUUGCAGCUCUCCAAUGGAAGAGAUUCUCUAUAACGUCGACACAGUAUGGGUGGCAAUGUAGCUGGAAUGUUCAGUGCCCUGUAUCCAGAGAUGGUGAGUCAGUGGUUCUCCUGGACUCCUAUGGAUUCUUACCCACAGACGCG
Long non-coding RNA from Salvelinus sp. IW2-2015, 751 nucleotides. RefSeq lists it as uncharacterized. The transcript is spliced from 4 exons. NCBI's taxonomy places the organism in Eukaryota, Metazoa, Chordata, Actinopteri, Salmoniformes, Salmonidae. The record is from RefSeq and is a predicted model, not a curated record.